This 1260-nucleotide long non-coding RNA is filed under the name Citrus maxima (pomelo). RNAcentral describes it as "long non-coding RNA (CMAX_LNC001794)". Lineage: Eukaryota; Viridiplantae; Streptophyta; Magnoliopsida; Sapindales; Rutaceae. The record is from RNAcentral.
GUGGUGGCGGAGGCGAAGCAUAUGAGACUCCAAACACUGGUGGCAAUGGCCCCUCGUACACUGGUGCUGGGGGCGGUGGACUUUCAUAAACAAUUGGCGGUGGUGGAGAUGGAGAUGGCGGUGGUGGAGGGUUCUCACAUGGAAUUGGAGGUGGAGGUGAUGGCGAUGGUGGGGGUGGCGAAUUGUAAUGAGCUGGUGGUAGUGGUGGCGGUGAAUGGUAAACUGGUGGUGGUGGAGGUGGCGAAACAUAAAUUACUGGUGCUGGUGGUGGUGAUGGCGAUGGCGGGGGCUUAUAAUGAGUUGGCGGUGGAGGUGAAGGCAAUGGAGGUGGGGGCGAAUAUUCUACACAUGGUGGCGGUGGAGGGGGAGGUGGUUCUAUACAAGGGGGUGGGGAUGGAGGUGGUGGCAAAUGGACUGGUGGAGGUGGCGGGGGAGAUUGGUAUGGAUAAAUAGGAGGUGGGGGUGAAUGUGGCGGUGGAGGUGGUUCUAUACAAGGGGGUGGGGAUGGAGGUGGUGGUGAAUGGACUGGUGGAGGUGGCGGGGGAGAUUGGUAUGGAUAAAUAGGAGGUGGGGGUGAAUGUGGCGGUGGAGGUGGUGGUGAGCUAUAAAUGUAAGGGUUUGGCGGUGGUGAGGAGUACAGUGGAGGAGGUGGUGGAGGAGAAUUUGGCGGAGGUGGUGGAGGGCGGACACAAUACGGUGGUGGUGGAGAAGAGUAAACAGGAGGGGGCGGGGGUGAUGGUGAUGGAGGAGGAGGCGGAGGCAAGUAUACAGGCGGGGGUGGUGGCGGAGGAGGAGGUGGUGGGGGUGGAGAGUAAACUGGCGGGGGUGGUGAAGGAGGUGGAGGCGGGGGAGAGUAGACUGGCGGAGGUGGCGAAGGAGGUGGGGGUGGUGGAGGAGGAGGUGGCAAGUAUACUGGUGGUGGUGGUGACGGUGGCGGAGGAGGUGGCGAGUAUACUGGUGGCGGCGGUGGUGGUUGCGGUACUACAACUGGUGGUGGUGGUGAAAUAACUGGCGGAGGAGGUGGAGGUGAGGGUGAUGGUGGCGGGGGUGAUUGCGGUAUUACAACUGGUGGUGGUGGUGAGGGCACCGGCAUUGGUGGAGAUGGGGGAGGUGGCGGGGGCAAGGUAGGAACAAAGGGUUUACAUUUAAAUGAAGAACAAUCCACGCGCUUGGACAGGAAUGACUUACAUUGCGCUGAAGACCUCUGUGCUGGCCUUGCUGGCAAGCAAUUCCUCCUGUCAUCAAAAGCUUGUAAGCUCA